This is a long non-coding RNA of Hermetia illucens (black soldier fly), 1392 nucleotides long. RefSeq lists it as uncharacterized. NCBI's taxonomy places the organism in Eukaryota, Metazoa, Arthropoda, Insecta, Diptera, Stratiomyidae. The transcript has 3 exons. The record is from RefSeq and is a predicted model, not a curated record.
GUUUAUCGGAGGUUCGUAAAAUAUUUAUGUAGUUUUAAUUUCAAAAAAAGCUUUAAAAACAUUUUUGAAACAGAUAGUAAAGGAGAAGAUUGAUUGGGUGCGUAUGAAGCAAUUGCAUAAAAAGCAGCAUGCAUAGUUCACAAAGUAUGUACAUAUAACAAUAUAUUUUAGUAGUACAAAAGUACUGGGCUGGGCUGAUAUUCGAGAAAUUUAAAAAUCGCAUUAACAAGCUGUUCUUACAAUGAAUCUGAUAUUUGCUUUAAUAAAGAUUUUUUUGUUAGAUUUUCUAUAUUUUUUACUGAUUUGUUUCGGAAUAUUUGAAUUUUACAUUUUUUUUUUUAUAUUUGUCUUGCAAAAUAAUGGAAAACUGCAAUAUAUACUUGUUUCGUGAAUAUACACUCUUUAUUAAUGCAAAAAUUUUCAAAACCAUCCACCGAAUAAAUUAAUUCUAUACAAUUCCAGGAAUUUGUUACAAACUAGCUGGUCUUCUAUAAUACAUCAUUAGAAAUCUAUUUUAUGAUACACAUGCGAGUGGUGUGCUUUCGGCCUUAAGUUGUGUUCAUAUUAAUAUUUGAGUUGGGACGGAUAUGUUAGUUUACGCAUUCAAAUGGUUUUAUAUACGCUGAGAAAGCAAAUCUCUUUAGGGUCAUGUAUAUUUACAAAUAUUUAUGAGAACUCUGAUACAUUGUGGAAGUUAUUUACAUUUACUGGGAGGAUUAGUAUUUCUAGGAUAAAUUUCAAAUGAUAUAUUCAAUAAUUUUCCGUGAAGGCAAAGAAUAUGUGUAUAUCGAUUUUUGGAUUAGAUACAUUUGACCGGUGUUUGCAUAUUUCGUAUAUAUGUAUGACGACAUAUAUGUUCGUAAGUUGGGAUUGUUAUUAGGAGAACCAUUUAAGUAGAUGAUGGGUCAAAUAUAAUAUCGUAUUUUGGUGUGAUAUUUGUGCUUGUCCGUUCAUAACGAAUUGAAUCGAGUGAACCCUUAGUACCUGUGGUCAUAAUCUCAUUUGUAACAUAUUUAAAUAUCCUGUAUUUAUAUUUACAUUGUUUAUUCUGCCGCGAGUCUUGGUUGUAGGGAACUAGAGUAUAGCAGAAAUGAGACUAGUUUAAUAUUAGGAUCAAUUUACGCGUAUAAAUCGUUCGUGGGCAAAUAUAGAUUUUAGCCUCUCGACGAGAUUUAUUUUAUUUAUGAAAAGAGGAAGAGGAUUUUACAUCAAUAUGAUAAUUGACAUAGGCUGUAAAACUCGAAGUACCAUACCAUCGCUUACCUAAAGUGAACAAAUUCCCCAAAUUUUCUCACAUUAAAUAUAAGUUGAGGCAAAAAUAUUUAUUUUUGAGUAUAAAACAAAUUUCAUAAUACAUUUUUCAAAACUAUAAAAAAUAUUAAUAAUUUUAAG